This 462-nucleotide ribosomal RNA is filed under the name uncultured bacterium. RNAcentral's name for it is "bacterial SSU rRNA". It matches the Rfam family "Bacterial small subunit ribosomal RNA", at positions 340 to 793 of the family's 1533-position model. The record is from RNAcentral.
UACGGGAGGCAGCAGUGGGGAAUAUUGCUACAAUGGGCGCAAGCCUGAUGCAGCCAUGCCGCGUGUAUGAAGAAGGCCUUCGGGUUGUAAAGGUACUUUCAGCAGUGAGGAAGGUGGGUAUGUUAAUAGCAUAUUCAUUUGACGUUAGCUGCAGAAGAAGCACCGGCUAACUCCGUGCCAGCAGCCGCGGUAAUACGGAGGGUGCGAGCGUUAAUCGGAAUUACUGGGCGUAAAGCGCAUGCAGGUGGUUUGUUAAGUCAGAUGUGAAAGCCCGGGGCUCAACCUCGGAAUUGCAUUUGAAACUGGCAAACUAGAGUACUGUAGAGGGGGUAGAAUUUCAGGUGUAGCGGUGAAAUGCGUAGAGAUCUGAAGGAAUACCGGUGGCGAAGGCGGCCCCCUGGACAGAUACUGACACUCAGAUGCGAAAGCGUGGGGAGCAAACAGGAUUAGAUACCCUGGUAG